Molecule: long non-coding RNA, 274 nt
Filed under: Elaeis guineensis (African oil palm)
Lineage: Eukaryota; Viridiplantae; Streptophyta; Magnoliopsida; Arecales; Arecaceae
Description: long non-coding RNA (EGUI_LNC000815)
Source: RNAcentral
CCCAACGACAGAGUCUCUCUCUAGUAUAAAUUUGGGACAUGAAAAUUAAAACUUACCUGGAGGAUCUCCUAGUCCUCUAUUUAUAGAGGGGCUAAUGAGAUCGUUGGAAAAGUUUGUUAAAUUGUUAGAGGCCAGCUGUUGAAUUUGUUAGGUCUUUGGAGACCAGUAUAGAGUUUGUUUGGCUGUAGGAGGCCAGCUGUAAAUGAAUUAGAGCAUAGAUGUAUAUAUUGGCUGGAAUGAGAUCAUACUUAGCUGUAUGUAUCAGUUGGGGAUG